GAGUAACACGUGGAUAACCUACCUAUAAGACUGGGAUAACUUCGGGAAACCGGAGCUAAUACCGGAUAAGAUUUUGAACCGCAUGGUUCAAUAGUGAAAGACGGCCUUGCUGUCACUUAUAGAUGGAUCCGCGCCGUAUUAGCUAGUUGGUAAGGUAACGGCUUACCAAGGCAACGAUACGUAGCCGACCUGAGAGGGUGAUCGGCCACACUGGAACUGAGACACGGUCCAGACUCCUACGGGAGGCAGCAGUAGGGAAUCUUCCGCAAUGGGCGAAAGCCUGACGGAGCAACGCCGCGUGAGUGAUGAAGGUCUUCGGAUCGUAAAACUCUGUUAUCAGGGAAGAACAAACGUGUAAGUAACUGUGCACGUCUUGACGGUACCUGAUCAGAAAGCCACGGCUAACUACGUGCCAGCAGCCGCGGUAAUACGUAGGUGGCAAGCGUUAUCCGGAAUUAUUGGGCGUAAAGCGCGCGUAGGCGGUUUUUUAAGU
RNAcentral lists this ribosomal RNA (493 nucleotides) under Staphylococcus pasteuri. Its description in RNAcentral is "bacterial SSU rRNA". It matches the Rfam family "Bacterial small subunit ribosomal RNA", at positions 108 to 588 of the family's 1533-position model. The record is from RNAcentral. Lineage: Bacteria; Bacillati; Bacillota; Bacilli; Caryophanales; Staphylococcaceae.